AGCUCCUUGCUUUAAUUUUAUAGGGAGUUUGGCCUGCCCGGUGAUAAAAAUUUUAACGGCCGCGGUACUCUGACCGUGCAAAGGUAGCAUAAUCAUUUGCCUUAUAAUUGAAGGCUAGUAUGAAAGGUUGGACGAAGGCCUGAUUGUCUCUUAUUGAGUGAGAUGAAAUUAACUUACAGGUGCAAAGGCCUAUAUUUUACUGAAAGACAAGAAGACCCUAUUGAGCUUAAAAGAUUUAGUGAAACAAAAUAAUAUUAAUAUUGAAGAUUUUUAGUUUCUUUUGUUUUUUAGUUGGGGCGACUUAGGAACAAUAAAAGCUUCCUAGUGUUAAAAAGACUUUUGGUUUCGAUCCAAAAAAUUUUGAUUAACAAAAUUAGUUACCAUAGGGAUAACAGCAUAAUCUUUUUUGAGAGCUCUAAUCGAAAAAAAGGAUUGUGACCUCGAUGUUGGACUAGAAUAUCCUAAAGGUGCAGAAGCUUUUAAGGGUUGGUCUGUUCGACCAUUAAAAUUCUACAUGAUCUGAGUUCAGACCGGCGUGAGCCAGGUCAGUUUCUAUCUUUAGUUUUUUUGUGAUCUUAGUACGAAAGGAUCAGAUUACUAAGCAAUAUAUGCUUUCCUUAUGAUUAAAUAUAAUAAGAAUAUAAUAUUAAUAUUUAAU
Molecule: ribosomal RNA, 658 nt
Filed under: Pomacea flagellata
Lineage: Eukaryota; Metazoa; Mollusca; Gastropoda; Architaenioglossa; Ampullariidae
Description: partial large subunit ribosomal RNA
Rfam family: Bacterial large subunit ribosomal RNA (bases 1-583)
Source: RNAcentral